AGACAAAACUGAUUAAGGUGUUUGAUAUUUAAAAUUCAGGCCUUAAUCCUGUCACCUUAGGUCGAUCGGUACCUCAUGUUAAUUUCCUUUUUUAAUUAAUAAUUAGUUCCUAAACUUGUCUAGGUCACACCCAACAAACUUUCUCCUGGGCUAUUAGCUCAGGCGGUUAGAGCGCACCCCUGAUAAGGGUGAGGUCCCUGGUUCAAGUCCAGGAUGGCCCAUUCGUUGUUGGGGGUAUAGCUCAGUUGGUAGAGCGCCUGCUUUGCAAGCAGGAUGUCAGCGGUUCGAGUCCGCUUACCUCCACUGAUCAACUACCUAAUAACUCCAAUUGGAGAUAGUUAUUGUUUCGAUGUGUCUUAGAUGUUGUUCAACUGUAUGAACUUAGCUUCCUAUCAUUCCUUAUUUAAUUUAUAGGAUGAUAAGACGCUGAGCUCUCUGCAUAUUCGCAAGAAUAUCAGUUUGAAUCAGUAGAACCUUGACAACUGCAUAGGUAAAGUCUGGAAAAAUAAAGCAUCUCAUAGAUGCGUAUAAAUUUUUUUUAUACGUAAAUUCUUGAGUUAGAGCCUAAUUUCUAUUAUUAAACUACUUUUUAUAAGAUAGUUUUUAUAGAUCUUAGUUUUAAGUGAAGACAUUUUUUUAAU
Molecule: transfer RNA, 641 nt
Filed under: uncultured cyanobacterium
Lineage: Bacteria; Bacillati; Cyanobacteriota
Description: partial 16S-23S intergenic spacer
Rfam family: tRNA (bases 231-303)
Source: RNAcentral